AGUGAACGCUGGCGGUAGGCCUAACACAUGCAAGUCGAACGGCAGCACAGUAAGCGCUUGCUCUUAAGGGUGGCGAGUGGCGGACGGGUGAGGCAUACAUCGGAAUCUACUUUUUCGUGGGGGAUAACGUAGGGAAACUUCCGCUAAUACCGCAUACGACCUACGGGAGAAAGCAGGGGAUCUUCGGACCUUGCGCGACUGAAUGAGACGAUGUCGGAUUAGCUAGUUGGCGGGGUAAAGGCCCACCAAGGCGACGAUACGUAGCUGGUCUGAGAGGAUGAUCAGCCACACUGGAACUGAGACACGGUCCAGACUCCUACGGGAGGCAGCAGUAGGGAAUAUUGGACAAUGGGCGCAAGCCUGAUCCAGCCAUACCGCGUGAGUGAUGAAGGCCUUCGGGUUGUAAAGCCCUGUUGUUAGGAAAGAAAAGCAGCAGGUUAAUACCCCGCUGUUCUGACGGUACCCAAAGAGUAAGCACCGGCUAACUUCGUG
This 492-nucleotide ribosomal RNA is filed under the name uncultured bacterium. Its description in RNAcentral is "partial 16S ribosomal RNA". It matches the Rfam family "Bacterial small subunit ribosomal RNA", at positions 29 to 507 of the family's 1533-position model. The record is from RNAcentral.